GGCCGAUGGCGACCGGCGCACGGGUGAGUAACACGUAUCCAACCUGCCGUCUACUCUUGGACAGCCUUCUGAAAGGAAGAUUAAUACAAGAUGGCAUCAUGAGUCCGCAUGUUCACAUGAUUAAAGGUAUUCCGGUAGACGAUGGGGAUGCGUUCCAUUAGAUAGUAGGCGGGGUAACGGCCCACCUAGUCUUCGAUGGAUAGGGGUUCUGAGAGGAAGGUCCCCCACAUUGGAACUGAGACACGGUCCAAACUCCUACGGGAGGCAGCAGUGAGGAAUAUUGGUCAAUGGGCGAGAGCCUGAACCAGCCAAGUAGCGUGAAGGAUGACUGCCCUAUGGGUUGUAAACUUCUUUUAUAAAGGAAUAAAGUCGGGUAUGCAUACCCGUUUGCAUGUACUUUAUGAAUAAGGAUCGGCUAACUCCGUGCCAGCAGCCGCGGUAAUACGGAGGAUCCGAGCGUUAUCCGGAUUUAUUGGGUUUAAAGGGAGCGUAGAUGGAUGUUUAAGUCAGUUGUGAAAGUUUGCGGCUCAACCGUAAAAUUGCAGUUGAUACUGGAUAUCUUGAGUGCAGUUGAGGCAGGCGGAAUUCGUGGUGUAGCGGUGAAAUGCUUAGAUAUCACGAAGAACUCCGAUUGCGAAGGCAGCCUGCUAAGCUGCAACUGACAUUGAGGCUCGAAA
This 677-nucleotide ribosomal RNA is filed under the name uncultured Bacteroidales bacterium. RNAcentral's name for it is "bacterial SSU rRNA". It matches the Rfam family "Bacterial small subunit ribosomal RNA", at positions 83 to 758 of the family's 1533-position model. Lineage: Bacteria; Pseudomonadati; Bacteroidota; Bacteroidia; Bacteroidales. The record is from RNAcentral.